RNAcentral lists this long non-coding RNA (716 nucleotides) under Triticum aestivum (bread wheat). Its description in RNAcentral is "long non-coding RNA (TAES_LNC024763)". The record is from RNAcentral. Lineage: Eukaryota; Viridiplantae; Streptophyta; Magnoliopsida; Poales; Poaceae.
UUUUUGUAUUACUGCUGUCCAUACACUGGAAUAAUGCUUUUCUAAGUAUUUCAGGUAGGAUAUAGACAAAUGUCACAUUUGCUCUUCCUUGUGUUGCUAAGGACACUGAUGGGUGGGGUUUGCUUACAGCGCAGGUAUAUUUAUGUUUUCUACAAUUUGUGAUGCUAAUGUCUGUAGUCCCAAAACGCUUAUUUAGCCAUGUUUUCCUUGUUCACUUCACAAGAUUAUGUAUUCAUGCUGAUAGUAUGUUGCUCUUUCCAGGACCGGUAAUUCUGAUAGUAUGCCAAGGACUGCUCAGGGUUCCUAUUGCUUUCUGUUUUACCACCUAAGGUAAUCGAAUUUUGAUCUUCAGCUUGCAAAUUUAUCACCUUAUGGGAGGGAAAGGUUUGCAUGUACAUGAGCUCUGAUUAUCUACAUAUAUACCUGAAUUGCUUUGGAUUUGUUGGACUGCUAUUCUACAUGAUGUUCUCCAUGAUUCACUUGAUCUGUUAAUUUGAGUAUUUUCCUGGUGAGUUCUUUAGGUUCAUCUUGUGACACAAAAUACAAUUUUGGUAUGUGCAGACUCUGAAAUUUGGUGAUAAAGAAAAGGUACCUCCUAAUUUGCUCUCUGGCUCUCUUACACUUGUCUUUGUUUAUACUGGCUUGUAGUUGGGUAAUGCAGAGAGAGGUUUGGAAUUGAAGAACUAAAAUAAUGCAGAGUUGAAGGUUUUGAACGG